UAAGGAAUAUUGGUCAAUGGACGCAAGUCUGAACCAGCCAUGCCGCGUGGAGGAUGAAGGUCCUCUGGAUUGUAAACUUCUUUUAUCUGGGACGAAAAAGGGACUUUCUAGUUCAACUGACGGUACCAGAUGAAUAAGCACCGGCUAACUCCGUGCCAGCAGCCGCGGUAAUACGGAGGGUGCAAGCGUUAUCCGGAUUCACUGGGUUUAAAGGGUGCGUAGGUGGGCAGGUAAGUCAGUGGUGAAAUCUCUGGGCUUAACCCGGAAACUGCCAUUGAUACUAUUUGUCUUGAAUAUCGUGGAGGUCAGCGGAAUAUGUCAUGUAGCGGUGAAAUGCUUAGAUAUGACAUAGAACACCAAUUGCGAAGGCAGCUGGCUACACGAAUAUUGACACUGAUGCACGAAAGCGUGGGGAUCAAACAG
Molecule: ribosomal RNA, 423 nt
Filed under: uncultured bacterium
Lineage: Bacteria
Description: bacterial SSU rRNA
Rfam family: Bacterial small subunit ribosomal RNA
Source: RNAcentral